CCCUUAGAUGUUCUGGGCCGCACGCGUGCUACACUGAACGGUUCAAUGGGUAAGGUAGUGCGAAAGCAUGACCUAAUCUCGAAAUCCGUUCGUGCUGGGGAUAGAAGCUUGCAAUUAUCCUUCUUGAACGAGGAAUACCUUGUAAGCGUGAGUCAUCAUCUCACGCUGAAUACGUCCCUGCCCUUUGUACACACCGCCCGUCGCUCCUACCGAUUGAGUGGUCCGGUGAGGCUUUGGGAUCUGAGCGGAAAGAGCGUUUCGCUGUUUCUGCCCGGAAAACUCAGUCGAACCUUAUCAUUUAGAGGAAGGAGAAGUCGUAACA
This 322-nucleotide ribosomal RNA is filed under the name uncultured eukaryote. RNAcentral describes it as "partial 18S ribosomal RNA". It matches the Rfam family "Eukaryotic small subunit ribosomal RNA", at positions 1470 to 1796 of the family's 1831-position model. The record is from RNAcentral.